Molecule: small RNA, 127 nt
Filed under: Marmota monax (woodchuck)
Lineage: Eukaryota; Metazoa; Chordata; Mammalia; Rodentia; Sciuridae
Source: RNAcentral
GCUGGGCAUGGUGGUUCAUGCCUGUAAUCCCAACAACUUGGGAGGCUGGUGCAGGAGGAUCACAAGUUCAAGGCCAGCCUCUGAAAAUUACUGAGGCCCUAAGCAACUCAGUGAGACCCUGUCUCAA